RNAcentral lists this ribosomal RNA (697 nucleotides) under uncultured bacterium. RNAcentral's name for it is "bacterial SSU rRNA". It matches the Rfam family "Bacterial small subunit ribosomal RNA", at positions 79 to 772 of the family's 1533-position model. The record is from RNAcentral.
CUUGCUUCUCUUGAGAGCGGCGGACGGGUGAGUAAUGCCUAGGAAUCUGCCUGGUAGUGGGGGAUAACGUUCGGAAACGGACGCUAAUACCGCAUACGUCCUACGGGAGAAAGCAGGGGACCUUCGGGCCUUGCGCUAUCAGAUGAGCCUAGGUCGGAUUAGCUAGUUGGUGGGGUAAUGGCUCACCAAGGCGACGAUCCGUAACUGGUCUGAGAGGAUGAUCAGUCACACUGGAACUGAGACACGGUCCAGACUCCUACGGGAGGCAGCAGUGGGGAAUAUUGGACAAUGGGCGAAAGCCUGAUCCAGCCAUGCCGCGUGUGUGAAGAAGGUCUUCGGAUUGUAAAGCACUUUAAGUUGGGAGGAAGGGUUGUAGAUUAAUACUCUGCAAUUUUGACGUUACCGACAGAAUAAGCACCGGCUAACUCUGUGCCAGCAGCCGCGGUAAUACAGAGGGUGCAAGCGUUAAUCGGAAUUACUGGGCGUAAAGCGCGCGUAGGUGGUUUGUUAAGUUGGAUGUGAAAUCCCCGGGCUCAACCUGGGAACUGCAUUCAAAACUGACUGACUAGAGUAUGGUAGAGGGUGGUGGAAUUUCCUGUGUAGCGGUGAAAUGCGUAGAUAUAGGAAGGAACACCAGUGGCGAAGGCGACCACCUGGACUAAUACUGACACUGAGGUGCGAAAGCGUGGGGAGCAAA